RNAcentral lists this long non-coding RNA (404 nucleotides) under Androctonus crassicauda. Lineage: Eukaryota; Metazoa; Arthropoda; Arachnida; Scorpiones; Buthidae. The record is from RNAcentral.
AUAAAAAGUAUAUGAAUGUAUAUGAAAAUUUGUAUUUAAAUAAAUUCAAAAAUAUUAAUUUAUUAGAUGCUUCAUAAAUAAAAUUUGAAAUAUGUAGAUAAAUGCUUUUUAACAAGUAAACAUGGCUGCCACUAAUGCAUGCAUCAUCAGUUGACACAUGUAUUAUUGGAGAUUGCUAUAUUUCCAUUUAAUAAAAUGGAAAUACAAUGGUACCUCAACUUAUAAACUUAAUUCAUUCUGGCUACAGUUCAUAACUCAAAAAGUUUGUAUCUUGAAACUCAGUUUUUCAUUUUAUCUUAUGGGGAAAUCAAUUAAUCCAUUCCCAGAUUUAGAAAUUUUGAAAACAGUAAGAAAAUAUUCAUUUGUGUGCAAUUAUUUUUAUUUUUGAAAUCUUUGGUUUUACA